UGCUUAUUAUAUAUGUACUAAAUAAGAGAAUUCUAGCUCCUUUGACUUAAAGAAAUCUAAUCUAAGUCUUUAUCUAACAUUAAACAGUGAUAUCCAUGGUCAAUAUCUAGAAACAAUUACUGGUAAAGAACAUUGAGAUUCUGUGAAACUAAUUCUAUAUCUGUCAUUAUCAUUCAUUUAUUUGCAUGCCUAAGCUCAAUUGUGUCAAUACUCCCUAAAUGUUUUUCAUUAGAAUUUCAUCUAGGUCCUACACUUUCCUUAUUAAAUAUGUGUGUGUAUGUGUAUUCAUGUAUGUGUACGCACACACAUAUAUAUAUAUAUAUGUAUCUGUGUGUAUAUAUAUAUAAUAAAAAGCAGAUGCUCAUAGAUAUUAUGUGAGUUGGAUGAGGUCAUAUGACUUGCCCAAGGUCAUGAGAAAAGGUUGACUAAAUGAAAAUUAGGGAUGUUACA
RNAcentral lists this long non-coding RNA (450 nucleotides) under Callithrix jacchus (white-tufted-ear marmoset). RNAcentral describes it as "lncRNA (ENSCJAG00000087107.1)". Lineage: Eukaryota; Metazoa; Chordata; Mammalia; Primates; Cebidae. The record is from RNAcentral.